This 253-nucleotide ribosomal RNA is filed under the name uncultured bacterium. RNAcentral describes it as "partial 16S ribosomal RNA". It matches the Rfam family "Bacterial small subunit ribosomal RNA", at positions 524 to 776 of the family's 1533-position model. The record is from RNAcentral.
UACGUAGGGUGCAAGCGUUACUCGGAAUCACUGGGCGUAAAGCGCAUGUAGGCGGGUCUGUAAGUCAAAUGUGAAAGCCCUGGGCUCAACCCGGGAAUGGCAUUCGAUACUGCAGAUCUUGAAUGCUCGAGAGGAUGGCAGAAUUCCAGGUGUAGAAGUGAAAUUCGUAGAUAUCUGGAGGAAUACCGGUGGUGAAGACGGCUGUCUGGCGAGACAUUGACGCUGAGGUGCGAAAGCGCGGGGAUCAAACAGG